RNAcentral lists this ribosomal RNA (435 nucleotides) under uncultured bacterium. RNAcentral describes it as "partial 16S ribosomal RNA". It matches the Rfam family "Bacterial small subunit ribosomal RNA", at positions 29 to 507 of the family's 1533-position model. The record is from RNAcentral.
AGCGAACGCUGGCGGCAGGCUUAACACAUGCAAGUCGAACGCAUCACUUCGGUGGUGAGUGGCAGACGGGUGAGUAACACGUGGGAACGUACCCUUCGAUCUGGGAUAACUUCGGGAAACUGGAGCUAAUACCGGAUACGCCCUUUUGGGGAAAGGUUUACUGUCGAAGGAUCGGCCCGCGUCUGAUUAGCUAGUUGGUGGGGUAACGGCCUACCAAGGCGACGAUCAGUAGCUGGUCUGAGAGGAUGAUCAGCCACACUGGGACUGAGACACGGCCCAGACUCCUACGGGAGGCAGCAGUGGGGAAUAUUGGACAAUGGGCGCAAGCCUGAUCCAGCCAUGCCGCGUGAGUGAUGAAGGCCUUAGGAUUGUAAAGCUCUUUUGUCCGGGACGAUAAUGACGGUACCGGAAGAAUAAGCCCCGGCUAACUUCGUG